UUUCCGUAGGUGAACCUGCGAAAGGAUCAUUAAUGUAACCUGACCGUUCCUUUGCCGUAAAACGCACUGGAUUUGAAAGGGAGAUAUCAUACACCCUAUGUUUAUUUACUUUUGUUGCUUUGGUUGGCUGUCCUUUACGGCGUUGGACUCGGCUGAUCGCGCCCGCCAGAGGACCCAAACUCUUUUAUUAGUGAUGUCUGAGUACUAUAUAAUAGUUAAAACUUUCAACAACGGAUCUCUUGGUUCUG
Molecule: unclassified non-coding RNA, 248 nt
Filed under: plant metagenome
Description: partial contains small subunit ribosomal RNA, internal transcribed spacer 1, and 5.8S ribosomal RNA
Source: RNAcentral